This is a long non-coding RNA of Carcharodon carcharias (great white shark), 2437 nucleotides long. RefSeq lists it as uncharacterized. The transcript has 4 exons. The record is from RefSeq and is a predicted model, not a curated record. Lineage: Eukaryota; Metazoa; Chordata; Chondrichthyes; Lamniformes; Lamnidae.
UAUACCAAACGCUAAGUGUACAGACGCUUGAUUGAAUUAGAUACAAGAUGUACCCGCUGCACUCAGCACUAAAUGAUGUUUCCUAACAAGCAGAAGAAAUCUGACCCCAUCUCGUCUGAACGUGUUUAUCUCUGUAUGAACCAAUUGGCAGUGCCAACAGGAGGAAUUCCCAUAAUAGCAAUACAGGGAAGAAGCCACGAACACAUGAAUUAAGAUAGGACAUCAACUAAUGGGGUGCUGGGAAGGAAGUCGAAAUGAGGACAAGCCCCAAUCACUUUUCGAAAGUUUCACAGUCCACUCUUUUUUGACUCAUAUUCUGUCUGACGCCCAGUGUUUGAUAAUACUGCAUGGCAUUAAGCGAAUCUGGGAAAGGAUUUACUGGAACGCUCCCGCACUGCAAAAUUUGGACGUGCCCGGAGCCAUUUGCCAGCAGUUGAGAAAACAGCGAGUUUGCAGCUAUGUGUAUGUGUGGACCGUAAACUCAAGACACAAUCCUGCUCCACCAGCCAGAGUAACUGGAGACUGCACUCCUAAAACUCUAGCUUAUUGUUAUGACGGGUUGUUUUUUGUUUUGACUUAGAGAGGGACAGAAGUAAUAAACCGAGAAACCCCAAUCAGCAGACGUAGAAAACGGAUCUGAAAAGAACUUUCGUUUGGCGCGUUUAUCCAGUCGAGGAGGUUUUGUGGCUGAACAAAACCCUGGGUUGGGAGGUUUUGUGAGAGUGUUGUUUGUUGAAGUGGAGAAAGAAAAACCGGCGGCUUUUGCCUCAUUGUGUGGAAACCAAUCAGUGGUAUUUGGAAAACUGUUAGCAUUGUGCAGUUAUUCUUGUCUUUUGUGAGAGGAUUCUUUUCACAAGGUUUUUUUUCAGCCGAUCCAGCUGGCCAGAAUGAAUAGCAGUGCAAUGUGUACACGCUUUGUCCCGCUAGCCCUUCAAGUAGCCCUUAUUGAAUAGACUAAGUUGACACUGCAUGACAGUGAAACAACAUAAUAAAAAAUACAUGAGCCACUGAAUAGAAGCAGGCGCAUAAAUAAAUAAAUGGGUGACCAAAACUGGAUAAACUGAAUAACAAAACGGUGAAAGGAGAACAAAAAGAUAUUUAACACGCUAGAUUAGCAUUAGAAUGCAAUCUACAAGGCAGAACAAUUGAUGAAUAGGUUUACCGGCCGAGAAAGAAAUGGACUAAAUGCCUUCUGAAUAGAUAUGCUUUGCUGGAUUGAAUGGGAAAAGGUGGAGUUCGAGUUAUGCAAAUGAAUGAGAGAGUGAGGGAAGUUUUUGAAAAGAUAGAAAAGCUCCAGUUCAGGAUGUUUACUAAAGCAACGGUAGCAUCCGAGCUAUUUUCUUACUGCCAUGCGCUAGCGAAGAACCAACCGAAUAUACGUGUUGGAAGUUCAGUAUUCUCAAGCCUCAGCCAAUCUUUCAUCAAAAUAUCAUUUAACGAUCCCAGUUUUUAGUGGAAGGUAAAUAGCAUUUACUCCCAUGGAUAUAAGAAAGUUGUAGCUAACUCUAUUAAACUCAAUGAAAAUAUUGUUACCUUGGUGUUCAAAAAGCGAUAGCAAAUACCACCAGAGUUGAAUCGUCUUGAAUCUGAUUUGAUUUAAAUUUCAGUCACAAAAGGACAUGAUGGUGAACAAAUGCAAAGUGCAAGUGUGUGAAUCAUACUGUAUUCAUGAAGACAAACGCUUGAAUGCUGACGUUGAGAUUUGUAGGAGAAUGUUAUAUAAAGUUAAUGGGCCGUUUUUUAACAGGUGGAGCACAUUCACUUCUUUUGCAAUUUAUGAUAUAUAUUUGCGACCAACUUGCGCCACUGAAGUUUGAAAUUUGUGAAAUUAUAAUUCAAAUUUACCAGCGAAUAAAAUAUUCAAAGGAAAUAGCACAAUUGUACCUAAACAAUUUUUCACUUAGUUUCACGGGGUAUUGCUAACAGCUUUGCUGUUAGGAACAGUGAAAGAGAGUUGUUCUUACACCUGGGAGAAAGACCAAUACAACAGUGACCGAAUAUCUCGUUUAACCUUGGUGAUUUUAUACAAAAGCUGCUGGAUGAUAUUUUUGUGUUGGAAUGAAAUGUUAUGAUAUGACAUCCCUCUCUUUCGCAAUGUUUAGUAAAGUUUGAAGAAGUCAGAAGAAAGUUUGCCAGAACCCUUUUGAUGAUACCUGUACAGCUCCUUUGAGGUUUUCUUAACAAAACAAAACAUCUUGACGAAGCCAUUAACCUUCCUCUUUAAACAAAAGCAGCAUGCAGUGUAAAUCACAAAGUACACCGAGAAGGGAUUGGUAACAAUUACAGAAGAAAGGAAGUUUAUAUCUAGAUAUAUACAAAUGGACAUGUUCAUCAACACCUGGAAAGUGAAAGGGCAACUUAUAGGGUGAUUUAAUACCUUCCGGUUUCAGUUCUCCGAAUGGUCUAUACCCAAAACAUUACAUUAAAAUUAAGAAAA